Molecule: ribosomal RNA, 468 nt
Filed under: uncultured bacterium
Lineage: Bacteria
Description: partial 16S ribosomal RNA
Rfam family: Bacterial small subunit ribosomal RNA
Source: RNAcentral
GACGAACGCUGGCGGCGUGCUUAACACAUACAAGUCGAACGGAAAGGCCCUGCUUUUGUGGGGUGCUCGAGUGGCGAACGGGUGAGUAACACGUGAGUAACCUGCCCUUGACUUUGGGAUAACUUCAGGAAACUGGGGCUAAUACCGGAUAGGAGCUCCUGCUGCAUGGUGGGGGUUGGAAAGUUUCGGCGGUUGGGGAUGGACUCGCGGCUUAUCAGCUUGUUGGUGGGGUAGUGGCCUACCAAGGCUUUGACGGGUAGCCGGCCUGAGAGGGUGACCGGCCACAUUGGGACUGAGAUACGGCCCAGACUCCUACGGGAGGCAGCAGUGGGGAAUAUUGCACAAUGGGCGGAAGCCUGAUGCAGCAACGCCGCGUGCGGGAUGACGGCCUUCGGGUUGUAAACCGCUUUCGCCUGUGACGAAGCGUGAGUGACGGUAAUGGGUAAAGAAGCACCGGCUAACUACGUG